UCAACUGAUGAGCGAGAACAGCUGGAGAUUUGCUUGAAUUCGAUUGAAACAAGCUUUCUGCUGUGGCAUUCCUCCUAGAAUAAAACUGGAUCACUGUACCUCUAGAUUACCCAAUAAAUGAGAGAUAAUUAAAGUUGCGGUUUAUCGUACUGAAACAGCCAAUGUCUACAAUGGUGUUGUUAUUCCUGGACAAUUUUUUCGUCUUCACCUAGGAACAUUCUGCAAUUAAUUUUCAACAGACGAAUGAGAGCAAGAGGAGAUUUAUUUGCAUUCCACUGAAACAACAAGUUUUCUGUUUUCACACCAGCAAACUUUGGAACGUUACAGGCUACAGUUAAUUAAGAUCGACGGUGGAGAAGACAAAGAAGACCCCGUAGUUGAAAUAGUUCUUUAUCUUGCAUGUUCUAUCUAAUAGAAUUAAUUCUUUAAGUCGAUAUUAUUCAAAUUAAUUUUUUA
Long non-coding RNA from Agrilus planipennis (emerald ash borer), 456 nucleotides. RefSeq lists it as uncharacterized. The transcript has 3 exons. NCBI's taxonomy places the organism in Eukaryota, Metazoa, Arthropoda, Insecta, Coleoptera, Buprestidae. The record is from RefSeq and is a predicted model, not a curated record.